This is a non-coding RNA of Coffea arabica (coffee), 2010 nucleotides long. Lineage: Eukaryota; Viridiplantae; Streptophyta; Magnoliopsida; Gentianales; Rubiaceae. The record is from RefSeq and is a predicted model, not a curated record.
CCGGGUUAAAGAAAUGCUCGCCACCACAAUCUCGUCAGCUUUUCCAGUCAAUGUUGCGCCGCAUUUUGGAAAUGAACCAUUAUCCUCUACUACUCUGCAUUGCCGCCGAACCAAGAAUCCGAUGAGGUUAACAAGAGGAGUCUUUCCAGUUUGUGAAUUUCCAGCAUUUCUUCCCGAGCAAGUUGAAAAUAUCAAAGAUCCAUUUGCGAGAAAAUUGGCCUCAAGAAUUGAAAGACUGCCCGUUCAACUUUUUAGACAGUUGUAUCAUGACUAGUUGUGUGAAGCCAGAGGGAGAUAGCAAGAAAAGUCCAGUGCUUCUUCUUCAUGGUUUUGACAGCUCUUGUUUAGAAUGGAGAUACACACUUCCAUUGCUUGAGCAGGCAGGUUUGGAAACUUGGGCAAUUGAUAUUCUUGGUUGGGGCUUCUCUGAUUUAAAAAGGCUCCCACCAUGUGAUGUAGCUUCAAAACGUGAUCACCUCCACAAGGUAAUGGCUUUCCUGUUCAUUAGACCUCUUAUCCUUUGCUGAUGGAUAUAGAAAAGAAGAGAUUCCAAUGACAUAUUAGUAAUACAGUAGUGUUGUAAGCGAUAAAAGAUUCUCAAGUACAAAAUCCAGGUUCAGUAUGCAUUGUCAAUCAGAAACUCUACAUAAUGUUAAGCUGGUUUUUGUUGGAAUCCCAUGAUUGGUAACAUGCAGACAUGUCUUUGGCGGAGGGGUCUCAUAUGUCAUAUUUUCCAAUUAGUCUACACAUUUUGACAAGUCCUUUACAAAUUUCAUAGGAGUCAGGUAUGUAAAUUCAAGAAUCUUCACUUGAAACUCUGGAUGAAGAAAUAGGAAUUUUAUAUUCUGAUCUAUAUCUAUUUGCUCAGUGGGUCCAGCUAAGAAGGCAGUUUACUAUAUCCCCCCUAUUAGCCAUAUUUGAGACUGGGAAGAGUUUUCUUUUUCUAUUUCCUGCUAAUUUACCUAUAGAGAAGUGUUAAUUCCAAUCAUAUUUCCAAUCAUCUGAAAGACUAUUUUGCAUUUCAUGGCGUGUUAUUGCGGAAGUUCUGGAGUUCCUAUAUCAACAGGCCAAUGACAAUAGUUGGGCCAAGCCUUGGAGCAGCUGUGGCAAUUGAUUUUGCUGUCCGCUAUCCUGAAGCUGUUGACAAACUGAUUUUGGUAGAUGCCAGUGUUUAUGCAGAAGGCACAGGGGACCUUGCAAAGUUACCCAAAACAUUAGCAUAUGCUGGGGUCUAUUUAUUGAAAAGUCUUCCCUUGCGCCUGUAUGCGACUUCGAAGGCUUUCAAUGGUUUGCCAUUAAAUACCUUGUUUGAUUGGACCAAUAUUGGCCGUUUACAUUGUCUAUUACCUUGGUGGGAGGAAGCUACAGUUGAUUUUAUGAUCAGUGGAGGUUAUAAUGUUGUUGCCCAUAUAGGACAUGUAUGGUAAAACAAAAGACACUCAUAUUAUGGGGUGAGAAUGAUCAGAUUAUAGAUAGCCAGCUUGCACUGAGACUACAUUCUGAACUGCCAAAUGCAAUUAUACGGCAAAUACAAGAUUGUGGCCAUAUACCCCAUGUGGAGAAGCCUGCUGCAGUCAGCGAGCUGAUAACAGAAUUUGUUUGAACUUCAUGCAAUCUGGGAGAUAACUGUAUCUUCAUAUGUGAGAAAUUAUCCGACUGCUUUUGAGGCAAUGUUGAGGGAACCAGGCAAUUCCGCGAAUAUCUUCUCAGCGUUCUUCUAGCAUUGCAAGGAAAGGACUUCAUUUGAUUGCCAAGAAAUGUAGCAUGAAAUUCUUCCGAAAGUGAUUUGUUGCUUACCGCCAGGACUCGUGUCAAGCAUCAUACAUCAAGAACGCAGAAACCACUCGAAUCUGAUCCACCAACCCCUUGGUUCGGCUCAUGUUCUUCACUUUCUGAAGUGUGACACUCUUAUUUAUUUUUCUUCUUUUUUGUUUCCGAUACCUUGCCAUGUUUUAUAUGACGGAUCAAGAUUUAGACGAUCAUGAAAUGAAAAUCCAUAUUAUUUAAUCA